RNAcentral lists this unclassified non-coding RNA (307 nucleotides) under plant metagenome. RNAcentral's name for it is "partial contains 5.8S ribosomal RNA, internal transcribed spacer 2, and large subunit ribosomal RNA". The stretch from base 1 to 105 matches the Rfam family "5.8S ribosomal RNA", at positions 50 to 154 of the family's 154-position model. The record is from RNAcentral.
GAAAUGCGAUAAGUAGUGUGAAUUGCAGAAUUCAGUGAAUCAUCGAAUCUUUGAACGCACAUUGCGCCCUUUGGUAUUCCAAAGGGCAUGCCUGUUCGAGCGUCAUUUGUACCCUCAAGCUUUGCUUGGUGUUGGGCGUCUUGUCUCUAGCUUUGCUGGAGACUCGCCUUAAAGUAAUUGGCAGCCGGCCUACUGGUUUCGGAGCGCAGCACAAGUCGCACUCUCUAUCAGCAAAGGUCUAGCAUCCAUUAAGCCUUUUUUCAACUUUUGACCUCGGAUCAGGUAGGGAUACCCGCUGAUCUUAAGC